Molecule: long non-coding RNA, 1843 nt
Organism: Leopardus geoffroyi (Geoffroy's cat)
Lineage: Eukaryota; Metazoa; Chordata; Mammalia; Carnivora; Felidae
Exons: 2
Source: RefSeq, a predicted model, not a curated record
ACCUGCUCCCGUCUGUGUGCGGCCAGUCUCUUUGCAAAUCCAACCAAAUACUAGUUCGGGAAAGCACGGGGGGCUCACGGCCCACUUCAGAGGCAGGGUUUACACCAUCAGCCAAAGACAGACAGCAUGGAAGGUGUUGAAGAGCUAAGCAAUUUCCCCGGCCUUGGCCAGGGCCUAAUAAAAGCCCCAAGGCAGCCCUCGCGGUGAGAAGACAACGACGGACUUCAUCCCCAUUAAGAGAAAGUAAUUUUCCUAAAGCAGUGACAAAGAACUUUGUUAGCACCCGGCGUUUGCGUUCAGCUCAGUUUCUGCUCUGAGCAUUAUGUGGCCCGGAAGAAAGAGCAGGAUUCUCUGGCGUGCGCGUAGCAUGUGUGUACGUGUAUAUAAUAUAUAUAGCAAUCCAAGUAAGGAUCUUUGAAGACACAACACAGAUGAGUUCAUCGCCUUUUACAUGUUUGUUUCCUGUUCCUCCAAAUCCAUCAUUCCUGGUUCCAUCAGAGUUUAUGUGAAAAAUAACUGGAGUUUUAGUAGACUUCGAGCUGUAAAUAGGAAGCAACAAUGUGAAAUGGCUGCUAACUUAAGCUUGAGCUUCACGAACGGAAUUCUCGUUUUCCAAGACAAAGGGGAGGAUGUCACAAGUCCAUCUAGCUUCCCCUCUGGAGCUUGAGGACCCCUGUAAAGAAAUAGAGGGCAAGCAUUUGGGAGGAGCUUGUGAAUUCACCGUAUGUCCAACCCCAAGGCGUAGGUCUGGGUCCAGCCAGGCCAUUCAGAGGCUGUGGCUUUGGGGACAAAUGAGAGGUAAAGCCAGAAGGUGAGUGGGAUUCUCUAAUGUGGAAGCCUGAUGUGUUAGGCUGGAAACCUCUACUUAGAUUGAAAGGUAAGAGGGAGCCAUGGAAAGUUUUAGAGCAUGACAGUCACAUUAUGGGGGGUGGCUUCCCAGCUACACUUUAAUGGGAUGUGACAACACCAGAGCCCUUCAGAAGCAUCCCUACCCCCUGAGAGGAGACCCCAAUUUCGAUUCCCAGUUCUAACUCAUAGCAGCUUCAAGAGUCUCUUCAUGGGGCACCUGGGUGGUUCAGUCCAUUAAGCAUCUGACUCUUGAUUUCCCCGUUUGUGUUCUCCCUCUCUCUCUCAAAACAAAUGAGUAAACUUUUUUUUUUUUUUUUUAAGUCUCUUCAUUCCUGACCUCAACUCCCCAGUCUGUAAAGUGGAAGCCUCACUUCAGGGUCUGAGAGAACCCCAGUGGUUAGCAAUUCGAUGGAGGUGGGGCAGAACUGGAGAGGAAUGUGAGGAAAGAGAGAGACAGCGAGAGAUCAGCUGCCCUAGAGGACCAAGGAAGGCACCAAAUUCUUUCCUGCACCCACCACCUCCCCGUCCUCCACUGUGACUCAGGCAAGCCCUUGAACCCCUUGGUUCCUCAUCUCCCAAUCAAUGUGAGAUAGUCAAGCACGGCAAUGGAGGAGAGGAAUGGACAGCUCUUCACAGGAAUAGGAAGCACCCCGCAAAUUCAAGCCGAGCCCCACUGCCCAGCCCCAAGGCAACUCUGAUCUUCUGCUUUUUGGAACUCAGUGGCCUGGAAAAUUGUCCCAGAGAUUCUGACUCUGCAGAGUCCUUAUGGAACAGGAUAAGGUGCCCCAACUGAACACACCCCUGCAGGAGCAUACAGAGCACAAAUCAAAGCAGACCUUUGGGAUGAGUGUGUGUGAGUUCAAGGGACUCUUCACUUUACACAAGGACUCGCCUAGCUCUCCUUUUCUGAGACAGCUUGAUGGACAUAGAUAAACCCAGGUUCUGAUCCACCCUUGCCAGCCAACUUUUGACAAUCACUUAAUAUUGAACUUCA